AGAGAGAGAGAGAGAGAGAACUAGUAGUUUGGUGGGAUAUACGAUGAUGGGGUAAGGUGGGGCUUACGAAAAUGGAUGCACACCAAGAGAAGAUGAUUGGAUAGACAUAGUUCAUCGUUUGGAUAUUUUUGCCAACUUGGGUUAUAAACAAAAGAAAUGAAAUGCAGGGUGCAAUUACAAAUCUCUCUAUAAUCCUUCCCUACCUUUCUCUAGAAGGCUU
This 220-nucleotide unclassified non-coding RNA is filed under the name Hevea brasiliensis (rubber tree). Lineage: Eukaryota; Viridiplantae; Streptophyta; Magnoliopsida; Malpighiales; Euphorbiaceae. The record is from RNAcentral.